Long non-coding RNA from Trichomycterus rosablanca, 580 nucleotides. RefSeq lists it as uncharacterized. The record is from RefSeq and is a predicted model, not a curated record. Lineage: Eukaryota; Metazoa; Chordata; Actinopteri; Siluriformes; Trichomycteridae. The transcript is spliced from 3 exons.
AUCUCACAGCAAAACAGGGAACGCUAUCUGUUAGAGGAAGGUUUUGUGAUUACUGUGAGCGCUCUCUCAUUAUGAUACGAUCUGAUAUUCGCGUGUUAUUGACUUAUAAACUUAUACAACAUGCUUGCAACUAUUCAAAAUGGCCGCCGGUGUUUGUAAACAUUUACAAAAAGUGGAUUUUAUCUGGAAUGGAAGGACUAAUGAACAUAAAUUUGGACUCAGCUUGAAGAUAAAAUAUCCAGUGAUGCUGAUCUCCACUGCUGAUUGACGUAAGCGAGACUGACACACGCCUCCUCCAACACAUGCAUCUUUUCACCUGCACGAGGCGCCAUCAAUCAGCCAGCAGAGGUCGUAACUGCAUCAAUUAUAAGGCCCCUUUCUGGCUUCCCAUCCUGUAUGAACAACAAGCCAAUCAUUGUUCAUGUAGCCGCCCAGCCCAGCCGGAUGCGGAGCUGAGUUUCGAACCAACAAGAGGUCUGGUGUGCUAGACUGUUUAACCACUGUGCCACCUUAGCACUCGUGUGUGUUACAUAUAUAAUACAUAAGAAAUAAACAGUUCUAAUAUUAAAACAUGAUACAA